RNAcentral lists this ribosomal RNA (292 nucleotides) under uncultured bacterium. RNAcentral describes it as "partial 16S ribosomal RNA". It matches the Rfam family "Bacterial small subunit ribosomal RNA", at positions 505 to 796 of the family's 1533-position model. The record is from RNAcentral.
GUGCCAGCCGCCGCGGUAAUACGGAGGGUGCAAGCGUUGUCCGGAGUUACUGGGCGUAAAGAGCGUGUAGGCGGCUCUGCAGGUCUGAUGUGAAAGCUCCCAGGCUAAACCGGGAGAGGUCAUUGGAAACCGUAGAGCUAGAGAGCGAGAGAGGGACAUGGAAUUCCGGGUGUAGUGGUGAAAUGCGUAGAGAUCCGGAGGAACACCAGAGGCGAAGGCGGUGUCCUGGCUCGCGACUGACGCUGAGACGCGAAAGCAUGGGUAGCGAACGGGAUUAGAAACCCGGUAGUCC